RNAcentral lists this ribosomal RNA (446 nucleotides) under uncultured bacterium. RNAcentral describes it as "partial 16S ribosomal RNA". It matches the Rfam family "Bacterial small subunit ribosomal RNA", at positions 338 to 795 of the family's 1533-position model. The record is from RNAcentral.
CCUACGGGUGGCAGCAGUCGAGAAUCAUUCACAAUGGGGGAAACCCUGAUGGUGCGACGCCGCGUGGGGGAAUGAAGGUCUUCGGAUUGUAAACCCCUGUCAUGUGGGAGCAAAUUAAAAAGAUAGUACCACAAGAGGAAGAGACGGCUAACUCUGUGACAGCCGCCGCGGUAAUACAGAGGUCUCAAGCGUUGUUCGGAAUCACUGGGCGUAAAGCGUGCGUAGGCUGUUUCGUAAGUCGUGUGUGAAAGGCGCGGGCUCAACCCGCGGACGGCACAUGAUACUGCGAGACUAGAGUAAGGGAGGGGGAACCGGAAUUCGCGGUGUAGCAGUGAAAUGCGUAGAUAUCGAGAGGAACACUCGUGGCGAAGGCGGGUUCCUGGACAUUAACUGACGCUGAGGCACGAAGGCCAGGGGAGCGAAAGGGAUUAGAUACCCCGGUAGUC